GCCAUGGCGCGGUGAAUACGUUCCCGGGCCUUGUACACACCGCCCGUCAAGCCAUGAAAGCCGGGGGUGCCUGAAGUCUGUGACCGCAAGGAACGGCCUAGGGCAAAACUGGUGAUUGGGGCUAAGUCGUAACAAGGUAGCCGUACCGGAAGGUGCGGCUGGAACACCUCCUUUCUGGAG
Molecule: ribosomal RNA, 180 nt
Filed under: Prevotella sp.
Lineage: Bacteria; Pseudomonadati; Bacteroidota; Bacteroidia; Bacteroidales; Prevotellaceae
Description: partial 16S ribosomal RNA
Rfam family: Bacterial small subunit ribosomal RNA
Source: RNAcentral